GACGAACGCUGGCGGCGUGCUUAACACAUGCGAGUCGAACGGAAAGGCCCUGCUUUUGUGGGGUGCUCGAGUGGCGAACGGGUGAGUAACACGUGAGUAACCUGCCCUUGACUUUGGGAUAACUUCAGGAAACUGGGGCUAAUACCGGAUAGGAGCUCCUGCUGCAUGGUGGGGAUUGGAAAGUUUCGGCGGUUGGGGAUGGACUCGCGGCUUAUCAGCUUGUUGGUGGGGUAGUGGCUUACCAAGGCUUUGACGGGUAGCCGGCCUGAGAGGGUGACCGGCCACAUUGGGACUGAGAUACGGCCCAGACUCCUACGGGAGGCAGCAGUGGGGAAUAUUGCACAAUGGGCGGAAGCCUGAUGCAGCAACGCCGCGUGCGGGAUGACGGCCUUCGGGUUGUAAACCGCUUUCGCCUGUGACGAAGCGUGAGUGACGGUAAUGGGUAAAGAAGCACCGGCUAACUACGUG
RNAcentral lists this ribosomal RNA (468 nucleotides) under uncultured bacterium. RNAcentral's name for it is "partial 16S ribosomal RNA". It matches the Rfam family "Bacterial small subunit ribosomal RNA", at positions 28 to 507 of the family's 1533-position model. The record is from RNAcentral.